This 235-nucleotide unclassified non-coding RNA is filed under the name plant metagenome. RNAcentral's name for it is "partial contains small subunit ribosomal RNA, internal transcribed spacer 1, and 5.8S ribosomal RNA". The record is from RNAcentral.
UUUCCGUAGGUGAACCUGCGGAAGGAUCAUUAAAGUUAUAGCCCCCCGGCCCCUCCGCGCUGGGGUCUUCUAUACCACCCUUUGUUUAUUACACCUUUGUUGCUUUGGCAGGCCUGCCCUCGGGCUGCUGGCUCCGGCCGGCUCGUGCCUGCCAGAGGACCUAAACUCUGUUUGUAUAUGAAGUCUGGGUAUUAUAUAAUAGUUAAAACUUUCAACAACGGAUCUCUUGGUUCUG